Molecule: ribosomal RNA, 770 nt
Filed under: uncultured bacterium
Lineage: Bacteria
Description: bacterial SSU rRNA
Rfam family: Bacterial small subunit ribosomal RNA
Source: RNAcentral
CGGCGUGCUUAACACAUGCAAGUCGAACGGGGAUGCAUUAAGAAGGAGUGCUUGCAUUCCGGAAGGAUGUAUCUUAGUGGCGGACGGGUGAGUAACGCGUGGGUAACCUGCCCCAUACCGGGGGAUACCACCUGGAAACAGGUGCUAAUACCGCAUAAGCGCACGGAAGCGCAUGCUCCUGUGUGAAAAACUCCGGUGGUAUGGGAUGGACCCGCGUCUGAUUAGCCAGUUGGCAGGGUAACGGCCUACCAAAGCGACGAUCAGUAGCCGGCCUGAGAGGGUGGACGGCCACAUUGGGACUGAGACACGGCCCAAACUCCUACGGGAGGCAGCAGUGGGGAAUAUUGCACAAUGGGGGAAACCCUGACGCAGCGACGCCGCGUGAGUGAAGAAGUAUUUCGGUAUGUAAAGCUCUAUCAGCAGGAACGAGACAAGACGGUACCUGACUAAGAAGCCCCGGCUAACUACGUGCCAGCAGCCGCGGUAAUACGUAGGGGGCAAGCGUUAUCCGGAAUCACUGGGUGUAAAGGGAGCGUAGACGGCUGAGCAAGCCUGAAGUGAAAGGCGGGGGCCCAACCCCCGGACUGCUUUGGGAACUGUACGGCUGGAGUGCAGGAGAGGUAAGUGGAAUUCCUAGUGUAGCGGUGAAAUGCGUAGAUAUUAGGAGGAACACCAGUGGCGAAGGCGGCUUACUGGACUGUAACUGACGUUGAGGCUCGAAAGCGUGGGGAGCAAACAGGAUUAGAUACCCUGGUAGUCCACGCCGUAAA